AGAGUAGGCGAGAUGGUUGCGAGUUGCGAUGCAAUUCGAGGAAAGUCCGGGCUUCCGAAAGACCAAACUUGCUGGGUAACGCCCAGUGCGAGCGAUCGUGAGGAUAGUGCCACAGAAACAUACCGCCGAUGGAAGAAAGGCUGGGGGGCGAGGGCUAGGCUAGGGAAAACCCUUUCGCCUCUCACCUUAUGCCUCUCGCCUCUUCACAGGUAAGGGUGCAAGGGUGCGGUAAGAGCGCACCAGCAGCAUUGAGAAGUGCUGGCUAGGUAAACCCCGGUUGGAUGCAAGGCAGUAGGAGCUAGGGUUGGUCUUUUUCCCGCUCCGGCAGUGAUGCAAUGCAUCUUUGCGAGUCCGCUAGAGGCGUUUGGCAACAACCGCCGUAGACAGAUAACCGUCCCCUUUAGAGGUGAACAGAACCCGGCUUAUGUCCCGCUCUUUCC
This 440-nucleotide RNase P RNA is filed under the name Leptolyngbyaceae cyanobacterium CAN_BIN12. RNAcentral describes it as "RNase P RNA component class A". It matches the Rfam family "Bacterial RNase P class A". From Rfam's summary of the family: Ribonuclease P (RNase P) is a ubiquitous endoribonuclease, found in archaea, bacteria and eukarya as well as chloroplasts and mitochondria. Its best characterised activity is the generation of mature 5'-ends of tRNAs by cleaving the 5'-leader elements of precursor-tRNAs. Lineage: Bacteria; Bacillati; Cyanobacteriota; Cyanophyceae; Leptolyngbyales; Leptolyngbyaceae. The record is from RNAcentral.